AGGAUUUAAUUAUCUGGAAGAAAUGUGGCCUGCUAAACAGCACAUUUGAGCAGCCUUUAAAAGAGACAUGACUGCUCUUAGAAGCAGAGCCAGGCUGGACAUGAGACUUAAAUGUGACCUUAUACAAGCCUCACUAUUUAUGCUGGCAGCAGAAGACUGCACAAAUACUCUAAAAAGUCAUCCAUGGCAUGAAGAAAAACGGAAGUGGUAUCCUAACUAGCAAUGCAAGAGUAGUAAAAAUAUAUGUAUGUCAAGAU
Molecule: long non-coding RNA, 257 nt
Filed under: Anser brachyrhynchus (Pink-footed goose)
Lineage: Eukaryota; Metazoa; Chordata; Aves; Anseriformes; Anatidae
Description: lncRNA (ENSABRG00000004129.1)
Source: RNAcentral